GGACCUGACUGCUAUCGGAUUGAUACUAAGCCAUGCGAGUCUUUGUAGUAAUACAAGGCAGACGGCUCAGUAACGCGUAGUCAAUCUACCCUAUGGACGAGGAUAACCUCGGGAAACUGAGAAUAAUACUCGAUAGAACAUUAUGCCUGGAAUGGUUUAUGUUCCAAAUGAUUUAUCGCCGUAGGAUGGGACUGCGGCCUAUCAGUUUGUUGGUGAGGUAAUGGCCCACCAAGACUAUUACAGGUACGGGCUCUGAGAGGAGUGGCCCGGAGAUGGGUACUGAGACACGGACCCAGGCCCUAUGGGGCGCAGCAGGCGAGAAAACUUUGCAAUGUGCGAAAGCACGACAAGGUUAAUCCGAGUGGUUUCUGCUAAAGAGACCUUUUGUCGGUCCUAGAAACACCGAUGAAUAAGGGGUGGGCAAAUUCUGGUGU
RNAcentral lists this ribosomal RNA (434 nucleotides) under uncultured archaeon. Its description in RNAcentral is "bacterial SSU rRNA". It matches the Rfam family "Archaeal small subunit ribosomal RNA", at positions 19 to 458 of the family's 1478-position model. The record is from RNAcentral.